CCCUUAGAUGUCCGGGGCUGCACGCGCGCUACACUGGAGAAAUCAGCAUGCCUUCAUACCUGGCCCGAAAGGGUCGGGUAACCCGCUGAAACUUCUCCGUGAUUGGGAUAGGGAAUUGCAAUUAUUUCCCUUGAACGAGGAAUUCCCAGUAAGUGUGGGUCAUAAGCUCGCGUUGAUUACGUCCCUGCCCUUUGUACACACCGCCCGUCGCUGCCCGGGACUGAGCCGUUUCGAGAAAAGCGGGGACUGCUGCUGUCGGGGCUUUCGGGCCUUGGCUUCGGUGGAAACCGCUUUAAUCGCAGUGGCUUGAACCGGGCAAAAGUCGUANCA
Molecule: ribosomal RNA, 330 nt
Filed under: uncultured eukaryote
Lineage: Eukaryota
Description: partial 18S ribosomal RNA
Rfam family: Eukaryotic small subunit ribosomal RNA
Source: RNAcentral